ACUAGUGCCACUUCUGGUUGGUGAAGUUGCCUGUGCUGCAGCCCCCUUGACAUAAUGGAGAGGAGCCUGGUGGUAGAAUGUUCUCCAAGAGGAGCCCCCUCAGCUGUGAAACAGGGCUGAUCUCUGAGGACUGAUACAUUGCUCAUCCUGCUACCAUUUAUUUCAAGUAGCCCAAUAUUAAGAGUGCACUCCUACAAAUUCUUAGUCACACAAGUAGUCCCAGAUUUGCCCUGCUCAAUGGAUUCUGUCCUUUACGUGAUCUCUCACUAGUAAGGCAGAGCACAUCAGAGAUGUGAGUGAAGUGAACUCUUAAGUGCCAGCUUGAGAUUAAGAAGCAACAAAACUGUCAGACACUGAAAUGUAUGUUUAUAUUUUG
Molecule: long non-coding RNA, 376 nt
Organism: Dermochelys coriacea (leatherback sea turtle)
Lineage: Eukaryota; Metazoa; Chordata; Testudines; Dermochelyidae
Exons: 3
Source: RefSeq, a predicted model, not a curated record